CUGUUCAAGGCGGGGUGUAAUUCCCCACCGGCGGUAAGCAGCCGUAGUCGCUGCGCAGCCCGCUAACCCUCCUUCGGGAGGGCCGAUCCAGUGAGAAUCUGGAGCCGACGGUCACAGUCCGGAUGAGAGAGCAG
RNAcentral lists this non-coding RNA (134 nucleotides) under human gut metagenome. RNAcentral describes it as "FMN riboswitch (RFN element)". It matches the Rfam family "FMN riboswitch aptamer (RFN element)". Rfam says of the family: The RFN element is a highly conserved domain that is found frequently in the 5'-untranslated regions of prokaryotic mRNAs that encode for flavin mononucleotide (FMN) biosynthesis and transport proteins. The record is from RNAcentral.